RNAcentral lists this ribosomal RNA (619 nucleotides) under uncultured bacterium. RNAcentral describes it as "bacterial SSU rRNA". The stretch from base 1 to 537 matches the Rfam family "Bacterial small subunit ribosomal RNA", at positions 338 to 873 of the family's 1533-position model. The record is from RNAcentral.
CCUACGGGAGGCAGCAGUGGGGAAUUUUGGACAAUGGGCGCAAGCCUGAUCCAGCCAUGCCGCGUGCGGGAAGAAGGCCUUCGGGUUGUAAACCGCUUUUGUCAGGGAAGAAACGCUCUGGGCUAAUACCCCGGGGUAAUGACGGUACCUGAAGAAUAAGCACCGGCUAACUACGUGCCAGCAGCCGCGGUAAUACGUAGGGUGCAAGCGUUAAUCGGAAUUACUGGGCGUAAAGCGUGCGCAGGCGGUCUUGCAAGACAGAUGUGAAAUCCCCGGGCUCAACCUGGGAACUGCAUUUGUGACUGCAAGGCUAGAGUACGGUAGAGGGGGAUGGAAUUCCGCGUGUAGCAGUGAAAUGCGUAGAUAUGCGGAGGAACACCGAUGGCGAAGGCAAUCCCCUGGACCUGUACUGACGCUCAUGCACGAAGCGUGGGGAGCAAACAGGAUUAGAUACCCUGGUAGUCCACGCCCUAAACGAUGUCACUGGUUGUUGGGUAACGUUCCUUCUCAGUACGUAGCUACGNGUGAGUGACCGCGUGGGGAGGACGGCGCGUAAGGUAGUAAGUUAAAGUUAAGUAGUUAGGCGUGNGNGNGCGACGGACGACGACGAGGGAGGAGG